Molecule: long non-coding RNA, 352 nt
Filed under: Cricetulus griseus (Chinese hamster)
Lineage: Eukaryota; Metazoa; Chordata; Mammalia; Rodentia; Cricetidae
Description: lncRNA (ENSCGRG00015033565.1)
Source: RNAcentral
CCUACCCACACCAGGUUACCCCAUUCCUCCCCAAACCAGGUUACCCCAUCCUCCACAUUCCAGGUUACCCCAUCCUCCACAUGCUAGGUUACCCAGUCCUGCCUAUUCCAGGUUACCCCGUCCUGCCUAUUCCAGGUUACCCCAUCCUCCCCAUUCCAGGUUACCCCAUCCUCCCCAUUCCAGGUUACCCCAUCCUCCCCAUUCCAGGUUACCCCAUCCUCCCCAUUCCAGGUUACCCCAUCCUCCCCAUUCCAGAUUACCCCAUCCUCCCCAUUCCAGGUUACCCCAUCCUCCCCAUGCCAGGUUACCCCGUCCUCCCUAUUCCAGGUGAAACUGGAGAUCAAAAGUUAAG